AUUGAACGCUGGCGGAAUGCUUUACACAUGCAAGUCGAGCGGCAGCGCGGGGCAACCUGGCGGCGAGCGGCGAACGGGUGAGUAAUGCAUCGGAACGUACCCAGUCGUGGGGGAUAACUGUCCGAAAGGACAGCUAAUACCGCAUACGUCCUGAGGGAGAAAGCGGGGGAUCGCAAGACCUCGCGCGAUUGGAGCGGCCGAUGCCGGAUUAGCUAGUUGGUAGGGUAAAGGCCUACCAAGGCGACGAUCCGUAGCUGGUCUGAGAGGACGACCAGCCACACUGGAACUGAGACACGGUCCAGACUCCUACGGGAGGCAGCAGUGGGGAAUUUUGGACAAUGGGGGCAACCCUGAUCCAGCCAUUCCGCGUGAGUGAAGAAGGCCUUGGUCGUAAGACUCUGUGGGAGGAAAGAAGUAAGGGUAAGGUUAAGUAAUCCUGCCUGAUGACGGUACCUCCUUACG
Molecule: ribosomal RNA, 462 nt
Filed under: uncultured bacterium
Lineage: Bacteria
Description: bacterial SSU rRNA
Rfam family: Bacterial small subunit ribosomal RNA
Source: RNAcentral